UUAUAAAUGCCACUUAAAAACACACUGAUGUUGGCUAUAACUGUCAAUUUGGAUUGAAAAACAUAUGAACAAAACGGUACAAUUAUAAUAUAAACACGACCCUGUA
Molecule: long non-coding RNA, 106 nt
Organism: Haliotis rubra (blacklip abalone)
Lineage: Eukaryota; Metazoa; Mollusca; Gastropoda; Lepetellida; Haliotidae
Exons: 3
Source: RefSeq, a predicted model, not a curated record